ACAACUCUCAACAAUGGAUAUCUUGGCUCCCGUAUCGAUGAAGAACGCAGCGAAAUGCGAUACCUAGUGUGAAUUGCAGGAUUCCGUGAACCAUCGAGUUUUUGAACGCACAUUGCGCUGU
RNAcentral lists this ribosomal RNA (121 nucleotides) under Helicosporidium sp. ex Simulium jonesi. Its description in RNAcentral is "5.8S ribosomal RNA". It matches the Rfam family "5.8S ribosomal RNA", at positions 1 to 119 of the family's 154-position model. From Rfam's summary of the family: 5.8S ribosomal RNA (5.8S rRNA) is a component of the large subunit of the eukaryotic ribosome. Lineage: Eukaryota; Viridiplantae; Chlorophyta; Trebouxiophyceae; Chlorellales; Chlorellaceae. The record is from RNAcentral.